CCUGCCCUCCACUUCGGGAUAAGCCUUGGAAACGGGGUCUAAUACCGGAUAUGAGCGCCUGCCGCAUGGUGGGUGUUGGAAAGUUUUUCGGUGGGGGAUGGGCUCGCGGCCUAUCAGCUUGUUGGUGGGGUGAUGGCCUACCAAGGCUUCGACGGGUAGCCGGCCUGAGAGGGCGACCGGCCACACUGGGACUGAGACACGGCCCAAACUCCUACGGGAGGCAGCAGUGGGGAAUAUUGCACAAUGGGCGAAAGCCUGAUGCAGCGACGCCGCGUGAGGGAUGACGGCCUUCGGGUUGUAAACCUCUUUCAGCAGGGAAGAAGCGUAAGUGACGGUACCUGCAGAAGAAGCGCCGGCUAACUACGUGCCAGCAGCCGCGGUAAUACGUAGGGCGCAAGCGUUGUCCGGAAUUAUUGGGCGUAAAGAGCUCGUAGGCGGUCUGUCGCGUCUGGUGUGAAAUCCCGAGGCUCAACCUCGGGCUUGCAUCGGGUACGGGCAGACUAGAGUGCGGUAGGGGAGACUGGAAUUCCUGGUGUAACGGUGGAAUGCGCAGAUAUCAUGAGGAACACCGAUGGCGAAGGCAUGUCUCUGGGCCGCAACUGACGCUGAGGAGCGAAAGCAUGGGGAGCGAACAGGAUUAGAUACCCUGGUAGUCCAUGCCGUAAACGUUGGGCACUAGGUGUGGGGCUCAUUCCACGAGUUCCGAUGCCUCAGCUAACGCAUUAAGCGCCCCCGCCCUGGGGAGUACGGCCGCAAAGGCUACUACUCCCAGGGAAGUAACGAGGGGGCCCCGCACAAGCGGCGGGAGCAUGCGGGAUUAAUCUCGAUGCAACCGCGAAAAAACUUGUACCAAUGCUUGACAUGCACCCGGAAAACCGCCAAAGAGUGCUGGGACCCCUCCUACGGUCGGCUUGCACGAGNGGGUGGCAUGGUCUGCUCGUCCAGCCUCAGNGGAU
Molecule: ribosomal RNA, 956 nt
Filed under: Isoptericola sp.
Lineage: Bacteria; Bacillati; Actinomycetota; Actinomycetes; Micrococcales; Promicromonosporaceae
Description: bacterial SSU rRNA
Rfam family: Bacterial small subunit ribosomal RNA
Source: RNAcentral